RNAcentral lists this ribosomal RNA (450 nucleotides) under uncultured bacterium. RNAcentral's name for it is "partial 16S ribosomal RNA". It matches the Rfam family "Bacterial small subunit ribosomal RNA", at positions 354 to 796 of the family's 1533-position model. The record is from RNAcentral.
GUGGGGAAUUUUGGACAAUGGGGGAAACCCUGAUCCAGCCAUGCCGCGUGCGGGAUGAAGGCCUUCGGGUUGUAAACCGCUUUUGUCAGAGACGAAAAGGGACGUACGAAUAAUACGUUCCGCUGACGGUAUCUGAAGAAUAAGCACCGGCUAACUACGCGCCAGCAGCCGCGGUAAUACGUAGGGUGCAAGCGUUAAUCGGAAUUACUGGGCGUAAAGGGUGCGCAGGCGGCUGUGCAAGACAGAUGUGAAAUCCCCGGGCUUAACCUGGGAACUGCAUUUGUGACUGCACGGCUAGAGUUUGUCAGAGGAGGGUGGAAUUCCGCGUGUAGCAGUGAAAUGCGUAGAUAUGCGGAAGAACACCAAUGGCGAAGGCAGCCCUCUGGGACAUGACUGACGCUCAUGCACGAAAGCGUGGGGAGCAAACAGGAUUAGAAACCCCAGUAGUCC